This 225-nucleotide ribosomal RNA is filed under the name uncultured microorganism. Its description in RNAcentral is "partial 16S ribosomal RNA". It matches the Rfam family "Archaeal small subunit ribosomal RNA", at positions 330 to 559 of the family's 1478-position model. The record is from RNAcentral.
GCGCAGCAGGCGAGAAUACUUUACAAUGUGCGAAAGCACGAUAAGGGAACUCUGAGUGCCUCCUAAGGAGGCUGUUCAGGUGUCUAAAAAGCACCUGGAGUAAGGGCUGGGUAAGACCGGUGCCAGCCGCCGCGGUAACACCCGGCAGCCCAGGUGGUAGCCACUUUUAUUGGGUCUAAAGCGUCCGUAGCCGGUUGAGUAAGUUCCUUGGGAAAUUUGGCUGCU